Molecule: long non-coding RNA, 1780 nt
Organism: Oryzias melastigma (Indian medaka)
Lineage: Eukaryota; Metazoa; Chordata; Actinopteri; Beloniformes; Adrianichthyidae
Exons: 2
Source: RefSeq, a predicted model, not a curated record
GAGUGCUAACCACACAAACACGAAGCGCUAGCCACACAAAAAAACUGAGCACUGGUCACGCAAACAUGGAGAGGUAGCCACUGACACACAAAAAAACUGAGUGCUAUCCACAUAAAAAAGGGAGUGCUAGCCAUGCAAGAAAAUGGAGCGAUAGCCACACAAAAAAUGGAGCGAUAGCCACACAAAAAAUGAAUGCUACCAAAAAUAAAAAACAAACAAAUUAAAAAAAAUACGGGGAGCUAGCCACACAAUAUGUAGCGCUGGCCACACACAAAAAACAGAGCGCCAGCCAUAUUAAAAAACGGAGCGCUAGCCACACAUAAAAAUGAAUGUUAGCCACACAAAAAAUGAAGCGCCAACCACAUGUAAAACUGACACUAUUCACACAAGAAAUGAAUGGUAGCCUCACAAAAAAAAAUAGUGCUUGUGUAGCCCACAUGAAAAGUUAACAAAGUCAUUAUUCGUUAUUUAAUUUAAAUUAAUUAUAUCAGUAAAGUUUUAAAUGUCCUACGACACUUGAGUGCAUCAUCCAAUUCACCAAACCGCCCACACGGGGGCAUCUGCCUUAUCAGCCAAUCAGUGGCCAUGACUGUCAUGCUGGACUAGCAGCUCUGAGAUCAGUUCUGGAGCACGUUCUCUCAGCAAGACGGUCUUUUCACUUCAGCCACUGAGACCGAAAGGUAUCGCUGCCCAAGUUAAGGAACAAGACGAUUAGAAGCACGUUUUGAAACAAGUUGUCGGCUAAUGUUCCUCUUCAAGUAAAAAAAAACAGGAAAGUUGUUGCUGCCAUAGCCGUGUGGGUGUGUGGGCUGCGGCGGACGAGCAAGGUGUCGCUACUCGGGGCAUUAGCUUUAGCAGCUAACUCCUCACCGGCCAUUUUGUGAGGUGUGGCGCGAACUGAAACCAACGUGCUGAGCUCUGAACCCAGAAAGGCGGUCAGAUUUUUUGGUGGACCAGAAAUACCAGGAGAAAGACGAGAUCCAGAUGGCGAGCCGAAGAACCCAGAAGAAAAGAUAACAACACUUACGCUGAUGCACACACUGCGAUUGUCACACAAACUGUGGAGAUCAGGUGCACCUACAACUAUUUUGUUUAUUUCCAUUUUUUUUUUUUUUAAGGGCCCAUUCAUUGGACAAUAUUUUUCCAGUCCGCACUCUUUACAUUUUUUGUUGUUAACGUGUUGUGUCUGUUUACAAACUUGUUUAUUGUUUCUGUAGCGGAAAGAUAUAUGAGUUGAUACUCAACCGCUGACACUGUGCCUCUGAUUGUUGGUCAACUCCUUGGCUCCAAACAAAUUUAGAUCCUUCUGAUACUAGCACAUAGCUUUGUUUUGACACAUAUAAAUAACAUACUGUAAUCGAUCUCUUAACUGUGAAGUUAGUUACACUAGCCACACAAAAAAUUGAGUGCUAGCCACACAAACAAGGAGCGCUAGCUAGCCUUACAAACACAGAGCCCUUACCACACAAACACGGCGCGCUAGCCACACACAAAAAAACUGAGCGCUGGCCACACAAAGAAAUGAAUGCUAGUCACACAAAAAAAGCAAAGUGUUAGCCACACAAAAUAUGGAUGCUAGCCACACGAAAAAGCGAAGUGUUAGCCACACAAAAAAUGAAUGCUAGUCACACAAAAGCAAAGUGUUAGCCACACAAAAAACGAAUGCUAGCCACACGAAAAAGCGAAGUGUUAGCCACACAAAAAAUGAAUGCUAGUCACACGAAAAAGCAAAGUGUUAGCCACACAAAAAACGAAUGCUAGCCACACGAAAAAGCGAAGU